GAUGAACGCUGGCGGCGUGCCUAAUACAUGCAAGUCGAGCGAACAGACGAGGAGCUUGCUCCUCUGACGUUAGCGGCGGACGGGUGAGUAACACGUGGAUAACCUACCUAUAAGACUGGGAUAACUUCGGGAAACCGGAGCUAAUACCGGAUAAUAUAUUGAACCGCAUGGUUCAAUAGUGAAAGACGGUUUUGCUGUCACUUAUAGAUGGAUCCGCGCCGCAUUAGCUAGUUGGUAAGGUAACGGCUUACCAAGGCAACGAUGCGUAGCCGACCUGAGAGGGUGAUCGGCCACACUGGAACUGAGACACGGUCCAGACUCCUACGGGAGGCAGCAGUAGGGAAUCUUCCGCAAUGGGCGAAAGCCUGACGGAGCAACGCCGCGUGAGUGAUGAAGGUCUUCGGAUCGUAAAACUCUGUUAUUAGUGAAGAACAAAUGUGUAAGUAACUAUGCACGUCUUGACGGUACCUAAUCAGAAAGCCCCGGCUAACUACGUG
RNAcentral lists this ribosomal RNA (497 nucleotides) under uncultured bacterium. Its description in RNAcentral is "partial 16S ribosomal RNA". It matches the Rfam family "Bacterial small subunit ribosomal RNA", at positions 28 to 507 of the family's 1533-position model. The record is from RNAcentral.